AUUUCCCAAACCCAGAAUCCCCACCCUCCUCUCCGGCUCUCCCCAUUACAGCCUCUGCCCGCCGCCUCUCUCCCUCACUUCUCACACUCAUGGCGGCUGCACGCCUCACGCCUGAGAAUUCAUCGGCGCCGCCGCAGCAACUGGUGCUCGCUGCAGCCUCACGCGAGCAGAGCAGAGGCAGCAGCAUCCCGUGACCCUCAUCUCGCCGCUCUCCAGACAACUCCAGCCUCUCGUUGCCCUCAUCUCUUCGGUGUCUAGGAUCGCCGUCGGCCGUCGCGC
Molecule: long non-coding RNA, 279 nt
Filed under: Salvia miltiorrhiza (redroot sage)
Lineage: Eukaryota; Viridiplantae; Streptophyta; Magnoliopsida; Lamiales; Lamiaceae
Description: long non-coding RNA (SMIL_LNC013215)
Source: RNAcentral